UAGGGAAUCUUCCACAAUGGACGAAAGUCUGAUGGAGCAACGCCGCGUGAGUGAAGAAGGAUUUCGGUUCGUAAAACUCUGUUGUAAGGGAAGAACAAGUACAGUAGUAACUGGCUGUACCUUGACGGUACCUUAUUAGAAAGCCACGGCUAACUACGUGCCAGCAGCCGCGGUAAUACGUAGGUGGCAAGCGUUGUCCGGAAUUAUUGGGCGUAAAGCGCGCGCAGGCGGUCCUUUAAGUCUGAUGUGAAAGCCCACGGCUCAACCGGGGAGGGUCAUUGGAAACUGGGGGACUUGAGUGCAGAAGAGGAAAGUGGAAUUCCAAGUGUAGCGGGGAAAUGCGUAGAGAUUUGGAGGAACACCAGUGGCGAAGGCGACUUUCUGGUCUGUAACUGACGCUGAGGCGCGAAAGCGUGGGGAGCAAACAGG
This 429-nucleotide ribosomal RNA is filed under the name bacterium. RNAcentral's name for it is "partial 16S ribosomal RNA". It matches the Rfam family "Bacterial small subunit ribosomal RNA", at positions 355 to 776 of the family's 1533-position model. The record is from RNAcentral.